GAGAGGUGCUUCGGGGGCGGUGACGGUCCAAGUCCCUUGGAACCGGGCGUCGUAGAGGGUGAGAACCCCGUACAGGAUCCGUCGCCAAACCCGUGCGAAGCCCUUUCGACGAGUCGAGUUGUUUGGGAAUGCAGCUCUAAAUGGGUGGUAAAUUUCAUCUAAAGCUAAAUAUCUGCCGGAGACCGAUAGCGCACAAGUAGAGUGAUCGAAAGAUGAAAAGCACUUUGAAAAGAGAGUUAAACAGUACGUGAAAUUGUUGAAAGGGAAGCGCUUGGAACCAGACUCGCUCGCGGGUGCUCAGCCGUCCCCCGGGGCGGUGUACUCUCUCGCGAACGGGCCAGCAUCGGCUCUGGCGGCUGGACAAAGGCCCUGGGAACGUAGCUCUCCCCGGAGAGUGUUAUAGCCCGGGGUGUAAUGCAGCCCGCCGGGACCGAGGACCGCGCUCUUGCUAGGAUGCUGGCGUAAUGGUUUCCAGCGACCCGUCUUGAAACACGGACCAAGGAGUGGACCAACCGCGCGAGUGCUUGGGCGUCAAACCCCGGCGCGCAAUGAAAGUGAACGCAGGUGGGAGCCUUCCUCGCGGGGGGGCGCACCAUCGACCGAUCCUGAUAUACUUGGAUGGAUUUGAGUAAGAGCGUCGUUGGUCCGACCCGAAAGAUGGUGAGCUAUGCGUGAAUAGGGUGAAGCCAGAGGAAACUCUGGUGGAGGCUCGCAGCGGUUCUGACGUGCAAAUCGAUCGUCAAAUUUGCGUAUAGGGGCGAAAGACUAAUCGAACCGUCUAGUAGCUGGUUCCUGUCGAAGUUUCCCUCAGGAUAGCAGCAACGAAAAACAGUCUCAUGAGGUAGAGCAACGAUUAGAGGCCUUGGGGUAAAAUUUACCUUAACCUAUUCUCGAACUUCGAAUAUGUGAGAAGUCCUUGUUACUUGGUUGAACGCGGACAUUCGGAUGUGUCGUUGCUAGUGGCC
This 965-nucleotide ribosomal RNA is filed under the name Austrotrema myriocarpum. RNAcentral's name for it is "eukaryotic LSU rRNA". It matches the Rfam family "Eukaryotic large subunit ribosomal RNA", at positions 151 to 1131 of the family's 3401-position model. Lineage: Eukaryota; Fungi; Ascomycota; Lecanoromycetes; Ostropales; Graphidaceae. The record is from RNAcentral.